This is a non-coding RNA of Pelobates cultripes (western spadefoot toad), 814 nucleotides long. Lineage: Eukaryota; Metazoa; Chordata; Amphibia; Anura; Pelobatidae. The record is from the annotation of a GenBank genome assembly.
GAACCCUGCAGCUCUCCAUAGACUGAGCACUGAACCAUCCAGCUCUCCAUAGACUGAAUACUGAACCCUGCAGCUCUCCAUAGACUGAACACUGAACCCUGCAGCUCUCCAUAGACUGAACACUGAACCCUGCAGCUUUCCAUAGACUCAACACCGAACCAUCCAGCUCUCCAUAGACUGAAUACUGAACCAUCCAGCUCUCCAUAGACUGAGCACCGAACCAUCCAGCUCUCCAUAGACUGAAUACUGAACCAUCCAGCUCUCCAUAGACUGAACACUGAACCAUCCAGCUCUCCAUAGACUGAGCACCGAACCAUCCAGCUCUCCAUAGACUGAAUACUGAACCCUGCAGCUCUCCAUAGACUGAAUCCUGAACUAUCCAGCUCUCAAUAGACUGAGCACUGAACCCUGCAGCUCUCCACAGACUGAAUACUGAGCCCUGCAGCUCUCCAUAGACUGAAUACUGAACCAUCCAGCUCUCCAUAGACUGAGCACCGAACCAUCCAGCUCUCCAUAGACUGAAUACUGAACCCUGCAGCUCUCCAUAGACUGAAUCCUGAACUAUCCAGCUCUCAAUAGACUGAGCACUGAACCCUGCAGCUCUCCACAGACUGAGCACUGAACCAUCCAGCUCUCCACAGACUGAGCACUGAACCAUCCAGCUCUCCACAGACUGAGCACUGAACCCUGCAGCUCUCCAUAGACUGAGCACUGAACCAUCCAGCUCUCCAUAGACUGAACACAGAACCAUCCAGCUCUCCAUAGACUGAAUACUGAACCCUGCAGCUCUCCAUAGACUGAGCACUGAACCCUG